ACACUGGUGAGGAGUCCCAGAAUAGAACGAAAUGGCCGUCCAGUGC
Schistosoma haematobium is the source of this 46-nucleotide non-coding RNA. The record is from Rfam. Lineage: Eukaryota; Metazoa; Platyhelminthes; Trematoda; Strigeidida; Schistosomatidae.